Molecule: ribosomal RNA, 482 nt
Filed under: uncultured bacterium
Lineage: Bacteria
Description: partial 16S ribosomal RNA
Rfam family: Bacterial small subunit ribosomal RNA
Source: RNAcentral
GACGAACGCUGGCGGCGUGCUUAACACAUGCAAGUCGAACGAUGAAGAAGAGAAACGCGAACUUCGGUUCAAAUUUCACUUCGGAUUAGUGGCAGACGGGUGAGUAACGCGUGAGCAACCUACCUCUUACAAAGGGAUAGCCUCGGGAAACCGUGAUUAAUACCAUAUGACACAUUCAUAAGGCAUCUUAAGAAUGUUAAAGCUACGGCGGUAAGAGAUGGGCUCGCGUCCCAUUAGCUAGUUGGUGAGGUAACGGCCCACCAAGGCGACGAUGGGUAACCGGCCUGGGAGGGUGAACGGUCACAUUGGAACUGAGACACGGUCCAAACUCCUACGGGAGGCAGCAGUGGGGAAUAUUGCACAAUGGAGGGAACUCUGAUGCAGCGACGCCGCGUGAGCGAUGAAGGAAUUCGUGUCGUAAAGCUCUGUUCUAUGGGAAGAAAAGGACGGUACCAUAGGAGAAAGCCCCGGCUAAAUACGUG